RNAcentral lists this ribosomal RNA (263 nucleotides) under uncultured bacterium. RNAcentral's name for it is "partial 16S ribosomal RNA". It matches the Rfam family "Bacterial small subunit ribosomal RNA", at positions 90 to 354 of the family's 1533-position model. The record is from RNAcentral.
ACUGAGUGGCGACGGGUGAGUAACGCGUGAGCAACCUGCCCUUCGGAGGGGGAUAGUGUCUGGAAACGGACAGUAAUACCGCAUAACGUAUUUUUACCGCAUGAUAGAAAUACCAAAACUGAGGUGCCGAAGGAUGGGCUCGCGUUGGAUUAGAUAGUUGGUGGGGUAACGGCCUACCAAGUCGACGAUCCAUAGCCGGACUGAGAGGUUGAACGGCCACAUUGGGACUGAGACACGGCCCAGACUCCUACGGAAGGCAGCAG